This 595-nucleotide long non-coding RNA is filed under the name Pan troglodytes (chimpanzee). Its description in RNAcentral is "lincRNA". Lineage: Eukaryota; Metazoa; Chordata; Mammalia; Primates; Hominidae. The record is from RNAcentral.
AGUGCAAAACCGACAGUGCACAUAAACAUUUCCCAGUUGGGUAGACACACAACACACAUAUUACUCCUACAAUGUAAAGAUUUCCAUCACGGUGGACAGACGUGCUUUUCCAUGCUGUUGAGCUACAACUCUGGCCUACAACAACAGAAAUACAGCUUGUGUAAUAGUUACCAGCAAGGCCUCUAGACCCAUACUAACUGGGUUUGAAUCAAGGUCCCGUCCCUUGCUGAUUGUAUCACCUUGGGAGGAGAUGGAAGAUUGAGAGCAGAGUGCAAGAAUGGGAAGAGGGCUUCGUGCCCUGUGCACGUUUGCCACCUAGUGACCAAACUGAAUGGUGUGCUUCUCACCUCAGCCUGAUAGCCUGACCUUGACUCCUGAGUUCCACGAUCGCUUCACAACUGCAAGUCACCAUCAUACAAAAUUUGAGUUUCCCUAAGUCCGCGCCUUUGAGAGCUUUGGAACGAUAUGCAAGUUCAAGUCACCAUCCUGUUUCUUGCUACCUCCUGUGAGAAGACCAACAUUUGGGUUACUUGUUUCUACUCUUGUUCUUCUGCUUGUUAUUGUUGCCUCUGCAGCCAUUGAUCACACACGUGUU